Molecule: long non-coding RNA, 267 nt
Filed under: Rattus norvegicus (Norway rat)
Lineage: Eukaryota; Metazoa; Chordata; Mammalia; Rodentia; Muridae
Description: long non-coding RNA NONRATT013167
Source: RNAcentral
GGCUUCUAGGAUUUGCGCUGUGGGCUUAUCGUUUACUGGGGUUGCUGAAGUUUAAAAGGAAAACGGGCAAUAACGUGUCUGAGUCAACUCUUCUUGAAGAUGACAUCUCAUUCUGUCUUGCUAUUUAGGCCUGAGUGUCAACUUGUCAAGACCACGACUAUUGGAAAACUGUUUGAUGGCUGAAACUCUGUGGUGGAGCCCUGCUGUGCUGUAUCACAAAGUCACUUGAAAACCUAAAAUUCAAGUUCAAUAAAACAUUGAUAUUUU